AGCCAGUACUGGUAACCAGCUGCAGUACUUUUUGUGUGGUGUGGAAGUGUUUGUUUUUUGCAAUAGAUUUUUGUUGCAGUUUAGGUUUGUAUUUUCUUUGUUUUGUAGUGCUUAUUAUGAAGGUUCGUAGGUUUAUGUCUGUAGGCCAGGCAGGUCAUUAAACUUAACAAAGAAUAAGUAAGUCGGGAGAGGGGAAUAGAAAUCUCCACAUACAUAUUCUUAAAAGCUGUAACACUCACCACAAAGAUCUGCUGAGUGAAGUCUGUGAGACGAACGCACCAAGUCUGGACGCUCUGUCAGGCUACAUUUUACGUUUUUGGGAGUGAGCAGGUGUUAUUCUGUUCCCCGGGUUGGUUUUGAAGUCAUGGCUCUCAAGUAAUUUUUGUGCUUCUCAAAAGUGCUGGAAUUGCAAAGAUCAACAUCAAAAGCUACAAACUGGAAACAGAGGAAGAUACUAGCCCCGUGUUUCUGAUUCAGUAUCACUGAAAUACUUUGGAACCAUAUAAAGGGCAAAGUACAUUCCACAUGUUGAAGGACAGUGCCUGGCCCUGUGGGGUGUCAUCCCCAAGCUGUAGGCAUAGUGGCAACCCAGGGGUUCAUCUCAACUCCCAUCAGAGUUCAAACAUUGAAUUAGUUGUGCAAUGGAAGGAGUAUUACCAGGACCCAGAUGCAGCCCAAGGAAAAAAGAAAACAAAAGGAGACACACACAGACACCAGAGCAUGAUGCAAGUGUGGCUUAAUCGGUGCUUGCACAUUGGGCUUGUUCUUUCCAAACCUGUUGCCCCGAUUCUGCAAGGCUAUCCUGCUGUAGAAGGAGGCCCUGGAGGACAAGACACCAUGUGGGGAAAACAGCCAUGGGGAGCAGAACCGAGGUAUCCCAGCUUAGCUCCCAACUGACAGCAGCCACAUGAGUGAGCAGAAAAACAACUUCCAAGGGUGAUUUAGCUACUGCUGCUGUGGAAUGUCAAAACUUUCAGCAAGGGAGCCCGAUGCAGAUCUGUUGAUAUGACACCAUUCCACAAGAAGACCAACUGAUGGCUUUGUGGCAAGUUGACUACACUGGGCUGUUUCUAUUCUGGGAAGACAGAGAUUUGUUCUAAGAGGAAUAGGCAUGUGUUGCAGGCAUAGGUUGACCUUUCCUGCCAUGGAGCCUCCUCUGGUACCACUAUUUGAAGGUUGAAGGAAUGUUGAUUCACCAGGAUUGAGUCAGACCAGCCAAGCCUAUGACCAUGAUGUCAACUGACUGUAUCACCUGUCACAUCAUCCAGAAGCUACAGACUUAUAAGGCAUUGGAAUAACUUGUAGAUGGCCCCGUUAAAGUACCAGCUUAGAGGCAACACUCCAUGAGAAUGAGACAUCAUCUCCAGGAUGGCACAUACACAUUGAAUCACACAGCAUUGAUAAGGAGAUGGCUCCCCAGUAGGAAGAAUAUAUUGGUCAUGAACCAAGGGAUGAAGCAGAAGUGUCUUGCUUCCUGUCCCUGCAGCCUCUCUUUCUGCAGUGCUAGAAAUCCUGGUCAAAAGGGGGCAUAAUUUUAUCAGGGGACACAGCAAAAGUCUCCACUACAUUGCAGCUAUGCCUGCUGCCUGGGGAUUUUGGGCUUCUUAUAAUUGGGACCAGCAAUAAAAGAGAAGAGUCACAGUCUUGGCAGGGCUAAUUGACCCUGAUCAGCAGGAGAAGAAAGGCUGUGGUUCCACUAUGAGGGUAGGGAAGACGUGUGGCACCACUGAUCCACUUUUGCAACCCAUGGUACUCCCGUGGCCAGUUGUGAUGACAGACAAGUGCAGGAACACUUUUGGGAAGGGCAUGGUGGCCAGAGUUCAGACCCCAUGGGAAUGAGGACCAGGGUCACACCACUGGAUAAGCCAGGAGCUUGUGCUUCUAAGCCAUCUACUUUUACAUUUCCUCCAGGAAGAGAGGCCCACUGGAAGGCUGGAGGAGCUGCUCCCCAGAUGUAGAUGAAGUAGAUUUGAGCAGCACAGUGGUGGACCUAGUAGAGGCGGACAUCAAGAUCCUCUUCAAGGAAAGAUUAUCAAUAUAGUUUUCCCUGACCCAGGUGCCAUGUGUUUUCUGUCAUAUUCACGUAUGCUAAUACAUAAUUGUGCAAGUGGGGUAAUAUCUGGGACACUUCAUGGUUCAUAUCAAAACACAGAGUGAAGAGAACAUCCUCUGGGCCAUCUCAGAGUGUGAGUUUGGGGCGGGGGUGGCUCCUGGUUAACAUUUCUGUCCACUGCAGCAUUCCUUUUCCCUUUUGCUUUUAGAUUCUUCCCUUGACAUCACACCAGGAAAGUCUGACAACUUAACUUUAUUGGAUAUAGGCAACCGUUGAAUCCAAGUUUUGCCCACUGAAUCCAUCAAAUUGUUACAGCCAAUUCUAGAUGCCUGAGUGGACACAUGAAAUCCAGAUUCCCCAGUAAGCGCAUCCCCAUUAAUAAACUGACCAAAUGCAAUGUUAAUCUGUUCUAUAACCUUUAGAAUCCAUCCCAACAUAUAUUUUUUAGGUUCCUGCCAAGAUAUGUUAGCAAAAGCUUGCAAUUUUUUGAAAAAUGAAUUAUCUCUUCCUGGGACAUGUGUUGUACUUUUCUCUCUGAAAUAGGCUGAGCUCUGACUCCAUUAAAAGUCUGAAAGCAAUGAAGAGUGAAGGAGCGGAUAUUGGGGAGAAUAGGCAUCCUCUUGCAAGAUAACUGCCUCAAAGUCAUUAUAAGGUUUUCAAGCAAGAGAAAGCUAAUUUCCUUACACAUAUGAAGAAGCGUUGCUUCUCCUGGCAAGAAAUACACAGUGAAUCAGGGAUUCAAAAUUCUUAGCUUUAUCUAAGUUUACCCAGAUGUGUCUAUCCUUCCCAAUCAGUGCUCUUGGCAGGAGACUUGGCAAGUCUGCGAAGUCAACUUAUGUUAUAAUUCUGCAACCCACACAAGUUCUUAUUUUCAAUGAGGGUAACCUUGCAGCCACACAAAAUAGCAAAAUUUUUUAAGGAGUACCAUAGACACACUCUGGUUCUCUGUGUUCAGUGUUUUAAGCCUAUCUUUUUGUUCCCCUGUAAGCUCUUCAAUGUAGUCCAAAAUACACCAUCUGUGGUAGGCAGAAUUCUAAGAAGGUUCCAAAGAUUCUCACCCAUGGUGUAGAGAACUUGUAUAAUUUUCUCCCCUAAAGUGUAGGUGGAGCCCGUGAAUAGGAUGGGAUAUUAAUACCAUGAUUGUGUUAUAUUUUGAGACAAAAAAAAUUUUGUAGAUGUAAUUAAAGGUACUAAUCAGUUGACUAUGAGUUUAUCAAAAGGGAGAUCAUCCAGGUGGGCCUGACCUAAUCAUAUCAGCCCUCUAAAUCCUGGUCUAUGGGUCAGAGAAAGAGGAAGGCAGAGAUUUAAAGCAUGAGAGAAAUUCAAAGCAAACUAGAUUCUCCAUUGCUGUCUUUGAAGACAGGCAGCCAUGUGGCAAGGAAUGUGGGUAGCCGAUAGUGGCCGAUGACAGCUCCCAGCCCACACUUCAAGUUUAGCCUCGUAGGGCCCUGAGCAGGGGACACAACUAUACUGCAUUUACAAC
RNAcentral lists this long non-coding RNA (3536 nucleotides) under Homo sapiens (human). Its description in RNAcentral is "HSALNT0101229". The record is from RNAcentral. Lineage: Eukaryota; Metazoa; Chordata; Mammalia; Primates; Hominidae.